AAGGAUACGAGAUAUAUUAGGGUAAAAGAGCUCUUGGCUAUGGGGAAAUAACAUUUAUUCGAAGGGAGUGACUAGGGCUUUGGAUGCGCCGACAGUGAAGCACUCUUCAAUUUAAGCUUAAGAUUUUGAUCGUUCAGAGGCUCUACGCGAAGGGAAGGCAUUGGUUUAAUUGUUCGUGACACUCGCUCGGCAUCGAGAGUACGAUCCAGGUUCCAGUUCUACACCCCGUGGCUGAUGCGCGAGGGUGAUAUCUUUCAGUCAUUCAGGGUGAGCUACUUGGUCGUCUGUGGCCCCUGAAGGACCUCCUCUAUUUAUUUCUGUUUUUGUAUUCGACAGACAAUAUGUAGCCUUCGGGUAUUUUCAGACUUCUAUUCCGUACCAUGUUAGCGCUCUUGUACCCUUUGACCACUUUUUCGGGGUUGUCGUGACAUUUCUAGUUAUGAUAAGUAUUUAAGACU
Lycium barbarum (goji berry) is the source of this 458-nucleotide long non-coding RNA. RefSeq lists it as uncharacterized. The record is from RefSeq and is a predicted model, not a curated record. NCBI's taxonomy places the organism in Eukaryota, Viridiplantae, Streptophyta, Magnoliopsida, Solanales, Solanaceae. The transcript is spliced from 3 exons.